This is a long non-coding RNA of Topomyia yanbarensis, 1553 nucleotides long. RefSeq lists it as uncharacterized. The transcript is spliced from 3 exons. The record is from RefSeq and is a predicted model, not a curated record. NCBI's taxonomy places the organism in Eukaryota, Metazoa, Arthropoda, Insecta, Diptera, Culicidae.
UGAAGAUUUUAUUGUAAGCUACGACUCACUUACGGGUGAAAAAAAGCAAACUGUAUCACUUUGCCAGUUCAUGAGCUGAAUCAUAGGUGUCGCAUGACUAAUUUUGGUUUUGCCGCAAAUCGCCAAUAGAAAAUGCAGGUAAAAAGAGCGAUUUUCAAUUGAAAACACUGAAAAUACAUAUUAUCUCAAGCAGAGUGUCACGACAUUCCUUUCGGCUUUCUCCGAAUUUCGCACAGCUGGUUGCGAAUAAACUCGAUCGUAAUGCUUACGUUCCACAAUCAGCUCAGGGACGACUUUUUACCAUAAUUAGGCGUUCGAAUCGAGGAAUAUUCUCUAAAUCUUUGCCAUAUGAGCGUGAAAUGUACAGAGCUACAUUCCUUGACUUGAUACAAAGUUUAUGUAACUGACAAGUUUUCGUUCUGCUGAUAAAAAAUUACAAAUUACAUCUGAGGUUUGCAAUGCUUGAAAUUUUGCGUAGCUUGACACCAGCCCUAAAUGGUUUGCACAGCAACUGAGUACAUUGAUUUGGAUUACGAGCGAAUUCUCAUGGUGCUAUGCAUUUGAUACAAUAUUUACGGAGGACGUGAAGCAUAAAGAUACCACGUUAGAACAAAAUUCUAAUGACCUGAUCGAGAUGAACUGUUUGAUUAGGGAGAACGUAAUAUAAUGCUUGCAAUAUCUGCUAUAGGCGAUGUAUACCAAAACCAAAACAUGGAAAAUCAGUUCAAGCAACUUUGCAAAAAGAAAUCAAGCAAUUUAGGAAUUGUCAAGCCCUUGGAUCAAUAUGUACCUGUCAUCGAAUCAGAUCAUUUUCUAAGCAAGUAGGUAUGCGAAGAUAUCGGCGAAAUGAUAGUACGCUACACACUGAACAUGGAGAUAUUUUAACUUUUUGGGAGCUGCAUCGAGAACAUUGUCACGAAAAGGUACGGCUACAAAGCCGCACGAAUAUUCACAGCUUAAUUCAUAGCAUAGUACUGCCGCAUUUAAGUUAAAAAUAUAUUGUUGAGUAAGAUUAAAGUACGUGGUUUUAUCCAUAUUCAUUAUACACAAUGGCACAUGAUUUUUGGAAAAUUCAUUCGAAAAUAACAUGAUAAACUAAUGAAUUAAAACAUAUUUCGUUGAUCUUAUCAUAUCGACAAUCGAAACAAAAUACAAAUCUGUUGAUAGAAUUAGUUAGUUUCGUUAGUUUAAACGCAAAUCGCGCCAAUUACGCGAAACGCCACUUGCUGGCGCGGGUUGCCUUCGAAAUAUUUCUUAAUAUAGAUUUAUAUUUCAGUGAUACAACGUGAUAUGACGGCAAUAAACUUUUUUGAAUAUAAUUUGGCUUUUUAUUUCUGGGUAACAAGUCCUCUUUAUAAUUAACAAAAUCAUUAGCUGUUUCAACUGGAUGGGAAUUAUUUCAAUAUUACAAUUGAUUGAAACAACCAUCUUGGUUUACAGUUUCAACUUGCAACAAUCUUGAAAUCGACAAUUAUAUUAGUUGUUAGAACUGGUUGGGAAUUAUUUCAACAUUACAAUUGAUUGAAACAACCAUCGUGGUUUUCAGUUUGAAC